This is a long non-coding RNA of Gossypium arboreum, 771 nucleotides long. RefSeq lists it as uncharacterized. The transcript has 2 exons. The record is from RefSeq and is a predicted model, not a curated record. Lineage: Eukaryota; Viridiplantae; Streptophyta; Magnoliopsida; Malvales; Malvaceae.
CAUCCAUAUGUAACUAAACCAACAAAUAUUCGGUUAAAACCCAAUCAUUUCUGCAUGUGGCUAGCUAAUUGGGAAGUAAAAAAAAAAAAAAGGCACUUCAUUCAUUGGAUGAUUCCAUGGAAUACAGCUAAACAACACCAGGACUCUGAACGUGCAGCCGCCAUUGGUCCUACACGUGGCACCAAUCAACACCGAAAAGUGGGGAUUUUCUCAACAUUGUUAAUUCUGUCACGGCAUUGGAAGCCAGAGUGGCGGCUUCCUCCUUAAGAUUCUCAGUUUCGGGUCUCUUUUUAAACCCUCCUCAACUCUCCAAGUUGUUAAAACAAAAUACAGGAGGAAGUAAGGGUAGAAAGAAUGGAGAGGCUAAGAGUUGGGUUCGCAGUAAUGCUGAUUAUUAGAUUUGUAUUGAAUAUGGUACAUUCCAGCAAUGCUCAAAGCCUUGCUCCUGCAUCUCCUCCUAUAAGCGAUGGGGUAACAGUUGAUCAGGGAAUUGCUUACGUUUUAAUGCUGCUUGCUUUUGUGCUCACAUAUAUCAUUCACUGACAUUAUCUGUGACGGAAUUAAAAAAUCAAGUCGUGUUUGUAAUUUUUAAAAUUCUUUAUUUUUUCCUCGAUUUAAAUUUUUGUAUUCUUCUUCAAUCUCAGCUUGUAAUUAUUUUUAUUUCUUCAGUAUUUACUUAUAAAAUGAGAAAAGCGAUGACUAGUUUUAUUCUUGCCUUAAUUAUCUCCUUCGGGAUGACAACUAGGGUGUGGAUUCAAAUACUUGAAAAUA